Camelina sativa (false flax) is the source of this 495-nucleotide long non-coding RNA. RefSeq lists it as uncharacterized. Lineage: Eukaryota; Viridiplantae; Streptophyta; Magnoliopsida; Brassicales; Brassicaceae. The record is from RefSeq and is a predicted model, not a curated record.
AUAAGGGGCAAUUGUAGUCGCCAUCCCUUUGUCGUCUUUAAAAUAAAUUCCACUGUUGCUAGUCUCGGCCUUGCUCUGCAGUUACGUUUUUCUCUUCUACUUUUACUUCCGAAUACUGCCAAUCGGAAGCCAUAUAGCAUCGCCGGAUUUGAUAGAAGUCUCUGGAUUUGUUACCUUUCAGCCAAAUCGUCUUUAGCGAGGAUGGCAGACCAUGGAUCUCCUGCUCCAAGUUUGUAUAUCUUAACACCAUUCCGAUUGGGUUGUCAUUGACAGAACUUUAUUUGGCGGUACUUCCUAGGGUUUAGCUUCAAAUAAUGGUUUCAACAACUCAUAAAUCUAGGAUGUGUAAGCCGUCAUUACGUUUGGGUUCACAAUGUUCCUUGUUUAGUCGGCCAUGCUCUGUAGGGUUUAGAACCCGUUAUUAUAUUUUCAGAACGCAUACGUCUAGGGUGUCUCUGUCGUCAGGACAUUUGGGUUGACAAUUCCCUUUGUUUA